RNAcentral lists this ribosomal RNA (402 nucleotides) under Bacteroidota bacterium. RNAcentral describes it as "Bacteroidetes bacterium partial 16S ribosomal RNA". It matches the Rfam family "Bacterial small subunit ribosomal RNA", at positions 355 to 776 of the family's 1533-position model. The record is from RNAcentral. Lineage: Bacteria; Pseudomonadati; Bacteroidota.
UGGGGAAUUUUGCACAAUGGGGGAAACCCUGAUGCAGCGACGCCGCGUGAUUUAGAAGGCCUUCGGGUUGUAAAAAUCUUUUCUAUGGGAAGAAAAUGACAGUACCAUAGGAAUAAGGACCGGCUAAUUACGUGCCAGCAGCCGCGGUAAUACGUAAGGUCCGAGCGUUGUCCGGAAUCAUUGGGCGUAAAGGGUACGUAUGCGGGUAAGCAAGUUAGAAGUGAAAUCCUGUAGCUCAACUACAGUAAGCUUUUAAAACUGCUCAUCUUGAGAUAUGGAAGGGAAAGUGGAAUUCCUAGUGUAGCGGUGAAAUGCGCAGAUAUUAGGAGGAAUACCGGUGGCGAAGGCGACUUUCUGGCCAUAAUCUGGCGCUGAGGUACGAAAGCGUGGGUAGCAAACAGG